Molecule: long non-coding RNA, 4154 nt
Organism: Neodiprion fabricii
Lineage: Eukaryota; Metazoa; Arthropoda; Insecta; Hymenoptera; Diprionidae
Exons: 3
Source: RefSeq, a predicted model, not a curated record
AAACAGAAACGUGCUCCUAUAGUAUACAACUAACGAAGAAAAGAGAUCGACGAAAGAAGUAAACGAAGAGUUUAGGCAGAACAGGAUUUGACUUUGAUGCUACGUUCUAACUACCACUAUCCCUAUGUUCCUGAAUUCCAUAAUGGACUGAAGAAUCCUGUGUUGCAAUACUCACAGUGUUACGGGUAGUUCUUAACAUCGGACUCCAGACAGAGACACAAAGACUGCACACAUGGAAGAAAAACACCGCGACACGAUCGCUGGUGUUUGCCAAAUUGCUUCGUUUGAUGUACCAUAACUGGGACAGUCACCAGACGUCAUAGUGGAAGGAUGUCGAAUGGUCAUCAGGGUUCGGACGAAGCCCCGAGUUCAUACGGAAGGGAAAGACGAACGAACACUUGAAGGUUUCUUCGAGGACGCGAAGACGACCGGACCAAGGAACGAGGUCUUCCGGGUUAGGUCAGGUUAUGGUUGGGAGCAGUGAGUAAUUGAAUGGACAUUGAGGCACUGGGGACACCGCAAACAACGAGCCGAGCGAUAAAGAGGCGCCGAUUGCGGUCUGGCGUGACGAGCAAGGGAACACCGAGCCGAAGCGUGUCUUGAACAACACCUGAACACAGCAGAGAAUCGCGGUAACCCGAACUUACUACCGAGGUGAACCGGCUGCGACAUCAUCGAGCAUUUGUAGUACAGUAGGCAGAUAGGAUGGAUGGUGUGUUUUCGCGUUAGAACGUUACACGCGAGUGUGUGCCAAUUGUGUACAGUGCUUCUCUCCUCAUCGUUAGCCCUUCUCCUCUCCUACUUCGUCGACCAACUCCUCCUACCGUACCACUUCAACAUGGAUUUGGUGUACAUAAGACAGAUUCACGGCCUGCCUGCCGAUGUCUGGAUACCUUAGAUUUAUAGCAGUAGUACCUGCGACUACACCGCGCAUUUUUACCACCAUCGUUUCCACCACCUUUGCCACCUCUUAGUUCCAUUUCUUACCACCAUCGUCGUCGUGUUUCUCCUGCAAAUGUUUUGCUCGUAGCGUAUACACUGUUAUGACGAUAAAACGUUAUCCGUUUUAAUCCAACGCACUUUAAUUACGUUCAUCCAUACUUCUCAGGCUUGCAUUCGACACACCGUUCGAUGUUAAUUGACAGAGUGUAUCCUCACUCUUUACCGAUCUCUGUUAAACACCCAGUCAAAGUUUUCAAAGAGUACACACUUGACUACACAUCUGGCAAUUAACGUGCACCAGACUGGCUCCAACUCGAACGCUGUUGCGUUCAAUACCGUGACAUUCAAUUCCUAGCAGCACACCGAUUGUAAAUCCUCGUCAAUUUCCAUUCAUUCUCUUAUUACAUAAUCCUGACGUUCAUUUGACGUUACAAGUUAAAGAUACACUCUUGAAGAAAAUUAGGAUUUUCAUCACUCGGACCGAGGUAAUCACUGAUUUUCUCUUCAAUUAUAAGCGUUCAAGCGAAGGGUCAAAGUACACAACCCUAAUGUUCGGACCAUGAGUACAGAGUCUCAUCGAUCUCAUGAAAAUUUCACACGACUCGACACCCUGAAACUUACUACGUAAAAUAUUUCAAGUUUAUCGAUGUAAAUGGUUUGAAAAAAAUUCACUCGGGACAAGUAAAGUGCGCGACGUUGGACACUUGCCAUCGAGACUGCGCAUACCUGUGUUUAAUACCGAGCAUACACUGCCUAAAAGUAAUAAUAAUAACAACAAUGACAAAGAAGUGGUAAAAGUAAAAGUGGAAUUGUAGCAGAGGGCGGCAGCAGAGCCGACCAGUCGCCAAGAGACAACGUUGCUCCGAGGAACGGCAUCAUGGCCGCCACUGUCAAAGGCCGUUUCAACGCGGGUUGCCUGUUCUCCUCUCUGCCCGCCUCUCCGCCGGUUACGUAACCUGUGACAUUACCGUACACGCACCCAUACAACCGCACCUUCUACGAUCUCGGCUCGAAGCGCGUUAUAGGCAAGGUUGUUUUUUUACCUGUUACUAUACACCGUGCAUGGAUGGGUGCGUAUUUUUCCUCCUUUACAACUCCACCUCUCGAUUCUACGAUGUGAUUUGUGAAUCUUUUAAUACCGCUCCUCUGAUCAACGUUAUAUACCUCCAUGAAUUUGUAUUGGAAUUUCCUUACCGAGUUUAUCAAACCGAUUGAAUUCGUAUAUUUCUGGGUAACCAGAGUGAAUUACAGCUGACUUUUAUUGAAAAUACAUUCCGUGUUUUCUAAUCGAUGCAGAACAAAAAGUUCUUUGUCAAACUCUUUUAAUUUAUCGAUCAUCGUCAGCAUCCGGCGAUGGUUUAAGAUCGCGUAAACUUUUCGAAACAAGUUCAGGAUUUUUCAAGUUUGGAAAUUCAUUCUAUUUCAAUUUCUGGGGUAUUUAUUUAGACUUUCACUUCAAAGUCUCUACUCGAUAUAAAUUACAAACAGAAGAAUCCUGAUGCGCAGAAUAUUUAAAAAAAAAAAAAAAAAAAGGCCCAUACUAUUUUCUAUUUGGAUUUGAAAUCUCUCACAAAUGUAGAUACAUUUCACGGUUGAUGCCGAGUAAUUUUCGUCUAAUCGAGAUACGAGCAAGAUAUUAUCUACCUACUCGUUACUCCAAUCGCGUCUCGAAGUGUGCAAUACAUACAAAUUGCUGGCAAUAUGCUUCUAUAUACGAGAUACACACGUCUCGUUAUCGAAGUAAUUAGAAAAAACGGUACUUUCAUAACUGGCGCAAGAAAAAAAAAACAAAAAAAAUAUAUAUAUACCGUGCGUAUAUCGAAACGAGUGAAACGCGCAAUUUGUAAUCAACAAGAGAUCCCCAUCUUUUCCCAACUUUGUUGCACUGAAAAAUAAUCCCGAUAAAAUCCAAACAGAAGCGGUAUUAUGGGUAAAAUAUUUCUUCGUCAUUUCUUUUGCGCAUCGAUUUUAAACAUUAUUUUUUCUUUUAUAAAUAAAAAUAUUUCCAUGCUUCUUAUUUUCACUCAUCUUAUCAAUGUUGUUAUUAUCAAAAUUACGAUUACGUAAAAAUUACACACGAAUGAGACAAAUAUACGCAUAUGCAUACCCUUACAUGUAUCGUGAACGAGAAAUGCGGAUCUAAAUAAAUGACGUACGGAAAACCGUGUGAUAGAAUAAUUAUUAUCAUUAUUAACACGCAACAUGCACUAAGCGUGUAAGAAAAACAGUGGGGGAUUAUUACUCACUCGGAUAUUUGUCCACGCAGCAAUGACGUAUUUAAAUCGAUACGUGUCUCUGCAUAUCUGUAUAUACAUAUAUCUAUUGAUGUAUAGGCUAUGCUAUGAAUAGCAUGUAUAGUUACGUAUAAAUGUAACGCUACUGCAAACUUGUCAAGAAACUGCAGCAGCAGCAGCAGCAGCAGCAGCGCAGCAGCCAGCCAAGCUGCAAACGAGCCAGCCAGCAACUGCACUGACCUUCGUAUUAUACCUGCCUACAUAUUACGCAUCGCACGAUAACGCAGCAGCAGCAGCAGCAGCAGCAACGUAUUGCAUAAACACGCAAUUUGUAAUUUGCAAUUUCGGCUUUGGCGGCGAAUUGUACGUAAGGCGGUAGCUUACUGUUUCCGUUCGACGUUUUUUAAACCUUGAACCCUUGGCGAACUUUAUUAUUUUUUUAUCAAUUUCCUUAGUUUUUCGUCGAAAUUUUAUUGUGUUUUUCAUUUUUCAAUUUAAAACUGAUCACGUUUGGAUGAAAAGACAGAAAAAGAUGACAAAACCAAACGUCCUCGUAAGGUUCUUUUCAAGUUCGAUGAAAAAUCUCAGCACGCACACACGUCGCGUUUGUAUUUUAAAAACGUCGAUCAAGGAUCGAGUGUAAGGACGAAAGGAAUGAAAAUCCUGCCACCUCGUCCAGCCUCGUCGUUGGAGAGACUGUGUCUCCGUGCAGGAUCUCCUGCGUCACUUGCCCUGUUUCAGCCCCGCCAUCGAAGCUGUUGCAACCCCCGACAACGAACGAGGAGGAGGAGGAGGAGGAGAGAUAGAGAGAGACUGAAAAAUCCGUACGAAAUAACAACAGAUGCAAUAAAAUUGCGAAAUGCAAUGCCCGAGAGCGCAGGUUUCAUACGCAGCCUCCUGUAUUCCUGUAUCCAGUAGCCAGGCAACCAGGCAGCAGCAGCAACAUGUAGGAGUAUUGCAAAGGGAAGAGGGAUGGGA